Molecule: ribosomal RNA, 370 nt
Filed under: uncultured Bacillus sp.
Lineage: Bacteria; Bacillati; Bacillota; Bacilli; Caryophanales; Bacillaceae
Description: bacterial SSU rRNA
Rfam family: Bacterial small subunit ribosomal RNA
Source: RNAcentral
CGAAGUGGCAGCGUUUCCGGAUUUUGGGCGUAAAGCGCGCGCAGGCGGUUUCUUAAGUCUGAUGUGAAAGCCCACGGCUCAACCGUGGAGGGUCAUUGGAAACUGGGGAACUUGAGUGCAGAAGAGAAAAGCGGAAUUCCACGUGUAGCGGUGAAAUGCGUAGAGAUGUGGAGGAACACCAGUGGCGAAGGCGGCUUUUUGGUCUGUAACUGACGCUGAGGCGCGAAAGCGUGGGGAGCAAACAGGAUUAGAUACCCUGGUAGUCCACGCCGUAAACGAUGAGUGCUAAGUGUUAGAGGGUUUCCGCCCUUUAGUGCUGCAGCUAACGCAUUAAGCACUCCGCCUGGGGAGUACGGUCGCAAGACUGAAA